UGCGGCACCGCGAGGGGGAGCCGGGGCGCGGCGCGAGGUUCCGGCCGGGGUGGGCUGCGCGGGGUGCCCGUGGUGGGCAGCCCAGCCUUUCCCGUAGGGUUUGCGGCGUCCCUAGGCUCCCUGCCUCCCGGGCAGGGUCCCGGGCCCGCGGCCUCGAUCUCCUCCUUUUCGGGAGUAAACAUUAUUACCAUCCCAAGUUCACGGCUUGGAAAAGGAGGCUCAAAGAGUUGACCAGCCACCAGCCACAAAGCCUGUAAGUGAAGACAUCUAGCUUCCUUCUACGAAGAGAAAGCCCAGGGCUUGGCUCGACCUUCUCACCACCGCUACCCCCAGCUUCCACUCCCUGGGCUCUUCACGACCAGCUGGAGCCUUCCAGAACCUCUCCAGAGAACAGCUCUGCUCCAGGCUGCUCUGCCGUGGGACGGACCCUCUGCAGGCGGACCCCGUCCUUUGAGCUGUGCGGAGAGGGACCAGAGGAGCGACAGCCCGUGGACCGGGGGCAGUUAGGCCAGGACUCAGGGCCUCUGUGGACACGCAGCCUCCAGCGGGGCACUCAGCAGUGAGCUGUGACCUCCACUGGAUUUAGAAGGAAGUGGGCCUCCCGAGCCAGUCCCGGGGACCACGCUACAUACCGAACACGAAGUUGUCGGGCCUGAAGAUCUGGCCGAAGGGUCCAGACCUGACGGAGUCCAUGGUGCCCGGCUCCAGAUCCACCAGGAUGGCCCGAGGCACGUAUUUGUUACCUGUGGGGACAGAGCAGGACUCAGAGCUGCGGUAGGCAAAGGAAUCACAGACAGCGCCCUGCUCUCUGGGCCUCUUAUGGCAGAAUUCAGCAGGGAAAAUUCCAGCAUGAGACAAAAGUAGGAGAUUAGAGGCGGCUUCUGCUCUACAAAGGGAGAUAAUGCCCUGCCUCGUCAUGACAAACAUGCAGGAGACUUCAGGAGCUCUGAAGUGUGUUUUUGAGCAGUUAAAAAUGCAUGCAGGAAGCCUUUCUUUGUCAUUUGCAUGUUCCUAAUACGUUGCGUCUGCCGCAGAACAGAAAGCAAGGUGAGGGGGCAGGAAAGCUUCCAAUAAUCACCGGCAGCUUCAUUGUAGUACACGUUGAUUCUCUCCAGCUGCAGGUCACUGUCUCCAUGGUAACUGCCCGUGGGGUCGAUCCCAUGCUCAUCGCUGAUGACCUCCCAAAACUGGAAAUAAAGAAAACCGCUUGACGGCCUGGCAUCCGAAGUAUCAGUAAAAAUGGCUCCCUUCUCCCUCUCCUGUCCUUGGAACGGCGGCGUUGUGGUCAGACAGUCGAGGAGACCCAGACAGACCAAUAGCUGCCUGCCCUGAUCCUCCAGCAGCUGCUGCUGAGGGGCUCAGGAAUCCGCCGCGCAUCAGCCAUAUGAUGGCGACAGGCUGAAAAGCUGGGAGGAGCCCUGAAGGAGGAGAGUGGCCACAGCCGCGGGGGCUGUCACCCCCGGCAGGGCUGAGGGUCAGCACCCCAGCUGAUGGACGGGUCACCCGUGGGGGCAGUGGCCAGAGCUGGGACCCUACUGUCGAGUAAGGCACAUUCAGACUUAGAGAUGGAGCGACUUUAAUGGAAAAGAGUGUUACCGUAGGGAGAGUGCUCCGAUCUCAGAAGCGUGCAACAAGCAUGCAGGAUGGAAGAGGACAGGCUUUUCUCUGCAGGGAGGGGUGAACAGGGCUAGCGUGAACUUUGUGGGCGGGGAGGAAGAGAGGGUGGGACAAGCAGAUGUGAAAUCAGCUCGCUGCAGCCGGAAGAGGGUUCUGUCGUCAGCAGACCCUCAGCCUGUUACAGGUGCAGCGUUCGCCUGUUACAGGUGCAGCGUUCGCCUGUUACAGGUGCAGCGUUCGCCUGUUACAGGUGCAGCGUUCGCCUGUUACAGGUGCAGCGUUCGCCUGUGUGCUUGCUUCAGCCUGGGGGCCGUGGAGGCGGGACGGACUGCAGUUUGGUAAGAGGUGGGCAGUUGUGAACACCUGGUCGUUGCCCCGUUGUUUUAUACAGACAAAAUCUGUGGUUAAACGCUACUAGGGAUGAAUAAGUGUGAGGUUGACGUGAGUUCGGUUAGCUGUCAGGGCUGGGUGGGCUUCCAGGUUCCUGGUGGCCCUGGAGGACCAGCUGUUACCAUCUGCUGAGCACGUUCCUGGCCUGGCAGGUGUUAGAGGCUCUUAGAGACCAGGGGUUUCACGAGAGGUAUGCUUAGGAAUAUUAUUUUUAAAAAAUACUACAGGUUAAAUGAGGGAGUAAAAACACAAUCUGAAGUUGGAAGGCAGUUGGUUGAGAAGGCUGUGAGACGUUGGGCCUGGAGUGUAUUUAAAUGGCAGCGUGAGAGCGACAGUGGCAAUCUGAUGGAUUUCUCCGUUUGCGGUAAAUAUUUCGGGCGGCGGCAUAGACAUUUAUGGGAUAGCAUGCACAGCCGUUACUCCUGACCUCUGCCCCAGGGCCCCUUUGGGCAGCCCAGAGCAUGCCCAAUGGCAGACGACUGUUGAGGACCGUUCACUGAGUUCCUGGAGUUCUCUCGUGUUGCUGUGUGUCCUCGGUAAGACUGUGCACGGUGCUGGUCACUUCCUGAAGCAGAGGAGGAAAGCGUAGAGGUUCUGGCAAACUGGCUGCGUGGCCCACCGGCCGCAGCUCCAGACACACAUGUCCGCACGUGAUCUGCACGGUCAAGCCUUUUGAGAGCCCUCCCAGUCCCUUAGCCUCUUGUUCUAAGGCUUCUUGAGAACCUGGCAAGGAAGGAGGGUCAGAGCCUCUUUCUGCAGCCAGGAUUCUGCAGGUGGACUUGUGGCUGUAGCACGCUUCUGUCCCAUGAAGAUAGCCACAGGUAGCUUUUGGAUCAUCUAGUGCCUGAAAGCUGAAAUCAGAGGUAAUAGUGCAGUUAUGGUGAUGGAAGAAAGCAGUCUGGUUAAAAAUUUGAUAAGGGCCAGUAAGAUUCGCUAGUAACAGGAUCUGAUCCAACCGCAGGCAUGAUCUUCCCAGUUUGGGCCCUGCCCUGCCCCAUGGGAGACAUUUAUAGAGCCAAGAGGUCAUAUCCACCAGACCCUGCACCAUGUGCCACAUCCUAGGAUGUCUGAACUUCCUGCCUAGUCUGCUCCAAGCCCACUUCUAGCGCAGAGAUGAGCCUCUCUCCCAGCCCAGGGUCUUCCUGAGGGCAGGUUAUUGAAACUUAGUACAGAAAAGGUGCCUGCCGUGUGCACCCCUAGGACCAAGGGGAGGCCGUGUGGGGAGAGGGAGUGGUGGGGUUUGGCGUGUGGGCUGGGAUGUCCACGAACACGCCCCUGAAGCCCAAGAGAAACUCUGAACACGGAGCUCCAGGCGAGCGCCCCAGGCUGGCAAUACUCCGUGCACAGUGUCACACGUGGAUGCAGGGCAGUGACGUGUCCUGACUCCAUGGAAGGACAACAGAAGCCCUGUGUCUGGUUCAUCUCUGGACUCAGCCCUUUGCGUUCUUCCCUUGGCUGAUCUUAGCCUGUAUCCUUUCCCUGUGAAAACAAAACAGAACUGUCACUGCGAGGGUAACAGCUUUCGGUAAAGUUCUGAGUCCUCCUAGUGAAUUACCAAACCUGAGGGUGCUCUUGGGGACCUUUGACCUUGCAGUUGGUAUCUGAAGCAAGAAUAGUCUUGGAGACCGUUCCCUCCAACCUCACAGUUGGCCCAGAUGCUUCACAGUUGGUGUCAGAAGUGACAUUUGCUCGUGUGACCCUGACUCACGGAAACAUAUGGUUCAAGAAGAGGGGGGGAUGAUGGGGUGGGGGGUGAUGAACCUGUGGUUCCUAGGGGACCCCAGGUCAGCCAAGGUGUAGAACUGGAGCUGUGCCGCACUUAGUUAUCAGAGGUAAAAGUCUCACCAUGGCUCCAGCCCCUGAGUAGUUAGCUCACUGGACGCGUGAGAAAAUGUGGAGUAACAAAGGACAAGCGAAUGAGUGUCCGUCCUGCGUGGUGUUCUCUGCAAUAAGCCAAGUGAAAGUGGGGUGUCAGGAUGCAUCUUGAGGCUGCGCCACGCUUGGAUUCGGGCUGCUCCGAGCUAACUCAGGGCUGCCACCAAACGGGAUAGUUAAGCCAAAGACACAGAUGGCUGAGAUCUGCGAGAUAAUGGGGAAGAGACAAAGGGGAAAGUCGGAGCCGGUCCCAGUGGGGUUCAAAUCUGUGAGCGGUUCCUAUUGGAGAAGUUAAGCAGACGUUGAUGGGAUCAGAAUAAAGGUCUUGCUGCAGCACUCUCCGAAGUCAGAUGGACCCAUGGGAGCCUCUGCUGGUUCCUCCACAUGGAAGGGCCCUAAAUCUGCUUCGUUCGCCUUGGUUUGGAGGAAUUUUAAAAGCUGGAAGGCACAGAUGACAAUGAGACAGCUGACCAAGAAUUUCAUGAGGUGACGGCCCCAUAGUCUAAUCAGGGCACAGACUGGCUAAGAGCCCAGGUCUCUUGGGCAAUCCCCCUCCCCUGCCCCGAGCUGGGAGCCCAGGAUGUGUGCCCGUGAGGGGGCAGAAGGCUUGGGGGGGGGGCGGGGGGAGGAGGUGCUUUGGGAGAUCCUUGACACGGGGGCCGUGCACUCUGCUACCAGAGCUACAGUUAGAUUCGGAGGAUACGGGGAGGAAAGAGUCGUUGGGACUGAGGUGAAAGUUUGGAUGAAAACUGAAAUGUUCCGGCAGACUCUGUGAAGUGGUUGUGUGUCCUUUACCUGAAUGCUUCAUGGGGACGGAUGUUGUGUCUGACUGGAGAAUGCCUCCCCUUCUAGUAUUAUAAACCAGGAGGCAGGUGAAGCCACCCCCGGCUUUAUUACUGUUGAUUCGACAGCCGAGGGGUCGUCACCGAGAUGGCCUGAGCCCCCAGCUUGCUCACGCGACCGGGCGAAGUACGGAGAGAUUAUCUGUACGGUGACCCGCGUCGGGUGCAGACCGGGGCUUACGGCAGAAGCCUGUGGAUCCCGCCUGGCAGUGACCGCUGGGAUUCCCGCUGGAGAAUUCCGGAAAUUUUCCAUUGCAAAGAUCAUUCCUAGCCUGCUUUGAACAUUAUUUGAAACCGCCCCGAUGGCUGAAGGACCUAAGAUAACCUCGAACCUGAAAGACCCGUAGGGUCUUGGGUGACGUCAGAGAAAUGCUCUCUAGAGAGGGGCGUGCGAAGGGCGUCCCGUAGUGGAUGGAGAUGGUUCGCACAGGAAAGGGCGCUGACGGAACACGAGGAGGAGAGGGCACCUCCCCCAGGACUAACUCUGGAGCCGCCUGGUUCGCCCUGUCAACAACUCUCCUGACCAGCAAAGGGCUGCUUGGCUUGUGGCUGGCAGUUCUGAAGCGAGCGCACAGCAUCCCGUCCGGAGAGCUGCCGCUGUAGCUGAAGGAGGAAGGAAGCCGUCAGCUCGGUGGCCUGGAAGGCGAGCUACUUGUCUCUAUGUUUGGGCUUUUAAUGACUCAGGGGUUGUGGCCAGUGGCCUGGCCCUAGGGUCAGGCAGACGGGCAGCGGAGCCUGGCCUGUCAAAGGGCCGCCCGCGUGGGGCACAGCCCUGUAGGAGUCACUCUGGGAGUUUGAGGGGUGCAUCAGUGUAGGGCGUGCUCGCUGCCCACGAGAAGCUCCCCCUUCGGGGAUCGGGAGAGGUUGGGACGGGCAGGUGGCCAUCCUUGAGGUGGCCUCGUGGGUCCACGAACUCGGUGGACGUGUGGGUACCACGGCAAUGCAGAGAUGGGCUGAAUCUAGAUACACUCCUCCUGAGGCACAAAAUGGCAGCCGUACAGUCUGUGCAGGAAGGACGGAGGCUGCUCCGGGGGAGGGUGAUGCCCACGCCGGCAGGUGGCGCUGUGCUGCUUCCCCCGCCCCCGCCGCCGUGGCAGUAGACACUCUGAGUUAGGUUUUGCGUGCCUGGUGGAAGAGGCAGUUGUACGAAAUACUGUAAAAGGACUGGAACAGAAGGUAUUGUACCAAUUUGGACCACGGAGUCGCAUUUCUUCCCAUCGAGGACCCCACUCUCAUCCUGAGAAAUAGUCGGGUGGAUCACUGGAACGGGCAAUGAUUCCUGCAAGGAGGGCCGGCUUACACACCUCUGUGGAUGUGUGCUCACACUCAACAGGAAGGGGGCCGUGGAUGGUCCACCGGGGAGGUUCCUCCACUUUUCUGUGGUAUCUGGGGUACAAGUGGGAGGGAUGCUGAUAUGACUGUACAGCCGUUUCCCACAUCACCUCAACUUCCGUUUUCUGGAUGCAGUGGUCCUGGGACCAGGGCAGCAACCACUGGCCAGUAGUAGGGUUGAUGCCUAAGCACGAGACUCUCACUGUGCCCUCCCAUCUUUAUGUCAGAAUCCCUAAGGGCCAGAGGGAGUGGGUUGUGCCUUGAUCUUAUCUGGCAAAAACCCUCCCCUACAGAAAGGACGGGGGCACUGAAGGGGGGGCUUGCCAGACUACCAUUGCUGCUGCCAACCCAGCACGGAGGCUGAGCCUAGCAUCCUUUCGAACAGAGGUGGACAAGUCUGUUAAAAAUCAGAUGAUAAAUGUGGAACGGGAGCUGAGGAUAAAGGAGUGAGUAAGUAAAUGGUUUGUGCAGUGAAGGAAAUCCAACGUUAUGUUGGUGCCUUGAGAGAGACUCGGAACACGAGAUGGUGGGGGCGCUUAGCCCGGGUACACCGGCUGCCUGAGAGGGUGGGGCUGUCUGUUGCCGACACCACGCUUGCUUUUGGAACCGGAAUGGUCGAGUGGAAGCCUACAGAACUGGGUGGCAUCACUCACGGAGCGUCGUAGGUUGUGAUGAUGCCCUGGUCCCAUUGUCGAUGACUCAGUGGGACUCUGAUGAAGUGUAACCUUUUGACUUUCGUUUGUCAGGCUGCCACACUGUGAUACGGGGGCGACGCUGGCCUUGUUGGUGGGACUCAACCACCCUAUGUAAACACGUCUGACAAUAAUACUGAUGUUGAUGAUCAAAUAUAGUGAGAAAUGGAGUUAGAGCCUAUUCAGGACGUAAUAAAAUGACUAGCUUGGGGAAGAA
Molecule: long non-coding RNA, 6965 nt
Organism: Globicephala melas (long-finned pilot whale)
Lineage: Eukaryota; Metazoa; Chordata; Mammalia; Artiodactyla; Delphinidae
Source: RefSeq, a predicted model, not a curated record